AAAUUGAAGAGUUUGAUCAUGGCUCAGAUUGAACGCUGGCGGCAGGCCUAACACAUGCAAGUCGAACGGUAACAGGAAGCAGCUUGCUGUUUCGCUGACGAGUGGCGGACGGGUGAGUAAUGUCUGGGAAACUGCCUGAUGGAGGGGGAUAACUACUGGAAACGGUAGCUAAUACCGCAUAACGUCGCAAGACCAAAGAGGGGGACCUUCGGGCCUCUUGCCAUCGGAUGUGCCCAGAUGGGAUUAGCUAGUAGGUGGGGUAACGGCUCACCUAGGCGACGAUCCCUAGCUGGUCUGAGAGGAUGACCAGCCACACUGGAACUGAGACACGGUCCAGACUCCUACGGGAGGCAGCAGUGGGGAAUAUUGCACAAUGGGCGCAAGCCUGAUGCAGCCAUGCCGCGUGUAUGAAGAAGGCCUUCGGGUUGUAAAGUACUUUCAGCGGGGAGGAAGGGAGUAAAGUUAAUACCUUUGCUCAUUGACGUUACCCGCAGAAGAAGCACCGGCUA
RNAcentral lists this ribosomal RNA (509 nucleotides) under Shigella flexneri. Its description in RNAcentral is "bacterial SSU rRNA". It matches the Rfam family "Bacterial small subunit ribosomal RNA", at positions 1 to 499 of the family's 1533-position model. The record is from RNAcentral. Lineage: Bacteria; Pseudomonadati; Pseudomonadota; Gammaproteobacteria; Enterobacterales; Enterobacteriaceae.